AAACUGUGUUUGGAAGGAAGUGGUUCCCGUGCACAUGGUGAGCAAACUUGUCCAGAUCAGCAACUUCUCCAUGCUCCUUCUGAAGUUCUCUCCAGCUGGCUAACUCUAUACCUGAGUCACUCAAAACCAUUUUCUUUGCCCCAGUAAUUCCCAUAACACGGAGAUCAAUGUUGUAUUGUUCCUUUAGAACAGCUGCCUGAUCUCUUAGCUGGUCAAGAAGUGUGCCACCUAUCAAGCCUGGUCCAAUAAUACCCACAGCUAAUGCCGUUUUUGAGAGAUAAAAUCUUGAGUGAGCCGCCCUAAGAGCCCUUAUGCAGUCUUCUUGCUUCAAUACUACAGUAAUAUUGUACUCACUGCAACCUUGAG
This 366-nucleotide unclassified non-coding RNA is filed under the name Hevea brasiliensis (rubber tree). The record is from RNAcentral. Lineage: Eukaryota; Viridiplantae; Streptophyta; Magnoliopsida; Malpighiales; Euphorbiaceae.